GAUGUGGCCUGAUUUUACAAAAACCGGAGAGAGAAUAAUCGCAUUUUGCUCACUUUUUAAAAAAAUCAGUCUUAAUCUACAAAUUUGAAAAAUAUGGCCCGACUUUACAGAAACGCAAAAACUGAUAGAUCUUUUAUGCAAAAAAAUCUGUUUCCAUAUAAUAAAACUAAAUAUGAUAAUUAAAUAUUUACGAUAUCAUCCUAAAAUCGUUGGUACAUCAGUGGUUAACCCACUAUUUGAGCCAGUGACUUUUGACUCAAUAACAUUUCAGAAUUAUUAUUUGACC
Molecule: long non-coding RNA, 286 nt
Filed under: Ananas comosus (pineapple)
Lineage: Eukaryota; Viridiplantae; Streptophyta; Magnoliopsida; Poales; Bromeliaceae
Description: long non-coding RNA (ACOM_LNC033464)
Source: RNAcentral